RNAcentral lists this ribosomal RNA (356 nucleotides) under Acalles camelus. Its description in RNAcentral is "eukaryotic LSU rRNA". It matches the Rfam family "Eukaryotic large subunit ribosomal RNA", at positions 1340 to 1663 of the family's 3401-position model. The record is from RNAcentral. Lineage: Eukaryota; Metazoa; Arthropoda; Insecta; Coleoptera; Curculionidae.
GCUUAUAAUCGACGGUCAGUGGCACUUGCGAUUGCGCGUUUGGUCACUAAGCCCUGACUAGUAGGAGGGUCGCGGAGGUGAGCGCAGAACGGCUGGCCGCGAGGCCGUCUGGAGCCGCCGUCGGUGCAGAUCUUGGUGGUAGUAGCAAAUACUCCAGUGAGGCCCUGGAGAACAGAGGUGGAGAAGGGUUUCGAAAGCCGAUGUCGAUGAGGUGUGGAUUUCUUUUUACGAGCGAGUCAAACGUUGAUUCGUUCCUUUAACGACGACGUAUCAAGCCGAUCGCAUACGCCCCUCGGGCGAAAGGGAAUCCGGUUCCUAUUCCGGAACCUGGCAUCGGAACCGUCAAAGAGUCGGGC